UGUGGGAGUUGCGGGCUUCUCAGAAGUCGGCUCUCCUUAAAUGUAUUAGCGAAACCUUUGGUUGACCAUCUCUGGUGUGAUAAUUAUCUACGCCGCUGAGAAUCAUCCUUUAUUAUGAGGUUCUGCUUCUAACCGUCCUCUCCGAGGACAACUCUUGACAUUUUGACCUCAAAUCAGGUAGGACUACCCGCUGAACUUAA
This 200-nucleotide unclassified non-coding RNA is filed under the name soil metagenome. RNAcentral describes it as "partial contains internal transcribed spacer 2 and large subunit ribosomal RNA". The record is from RNAcentral.